This 502-nucleotide ribosomal RNA is filed under the name uncultured bacterium. Its description in RNAcentral is "partial 16S ribosomal RNA". It matches the Rfam family "Bacterial small subunit ribosomal RNA", at positions 28 to 507 of the family's 1533-position model. The record is from RNAcentral.
GACGAACGCUGGCGGCGUGCUUAACACAUGCAAGUCGAACGGUGAAGGGGUCUGCUUUUGUGGGCCCUGGAUGAGUGGCGAACGGGUGAGUAACACGUGAGUAACCUGCCCCCUUCUUCUGGAUAACCGCAUGAAAGUGUGGCUAAUACGGGAUAUUCUGGGUCUGUCGCAUGAUGGGUCUGGGAAAGAUUGCGCCUUUGGGUGUUUUUGGUGGGGGAUGGGCUCGCGGCCUAUCAGCUUGUUGGUGGGGUGAUGGCCUACCAAGGCGGUGACGGGUAGCCGGCCUGAGAGGGUGGACGGUCACACUGGGACUGAGACACGGCCCAGACUCCUACGGGAGGCAGCAGUGGGGAAUAUUGCACAAUGGGCGCAAGCCUGAUGCAGCGACGCCGCGUGAGGGAUGGAGGCCUUCGGGUUGUAAACCUCUUUCGCCAGUGAGGCAGGCCUGCUCCUUGUGGGUGGGUUGACGGUAGCUGGAUAAGAAGCGCCGGCUAACUACGUG